Molecule: ribosomal RNA, 425 nt
Filed under: uncultured bacterium
Lineage: Bacteria
Description: bacterial SSU rRNA
Rfam family: Bacterial small subunit ribosomal RNA
Source: RNAcentral
GGGGAAUUGUUCGCAAUGGGCGCAAGCCUGACGACGCAACGCCGCGUGGAGGAUGAAGAUUUUCGGAUCGUAAACUCCUGUCGAAUGGGACGAAUAGAUUGCGGGUUAACAGCCCGUGGUCCUGACGGUACCGUUAAAGGAAACCCCGGCUCACUCCGUGCCAGCAGCCGCGGUAAUACGGGGGGUGCGAGCGUUGUCCGGAAUCACUGGGCGUAAAGGGCGCGUAGGUGGUUUGAUAAGGGUGUGGUGAAAGUCCGGGGCUCAACCCCGGAUCUGCCGUGCCGACUGUCAAACUCGAGGACUGUAGAGGCAGACGGAAUUCCGGGUGUAGCGGUGGAAUGCGUAGAGAUCCGGAGGAAGACCGGUGGCGAAGGCGGUCUGCUGGGCAGUUUCUGACACUGAGGCGCGACAGCGUGGGGAGCAAA